RNAcentral lists this ribosomal RNA (668 nucleotides) under uncultured cyanobacterium. RNAcentral's name for it is "bacterial SSU rRNA". It matches the Rfam family "Bacterial small subunit ribosomal RNA", at positions 367 to 1050 of the family's 1533-position model. The record is from RNAcentral. Lineage: Bacteria; Bacillati; Cyanobacteriota.
CGCAAUGGGCGCAANCCUGACGGAGCAACGCCGCGUGAGGGAUGAAGGCCUCUGGGCUGUAAACCUCUUUUAUCAAGGAAGAAGAUCUGACGGUACUUGAUGAAUAAGCCACGGCUAAUUCCGUGCCAGCAGCCGCGGUAAUACGGGAGUGGCAAGCGUUAUCCGGAAUUAUUAGGCGUAAAGCGUCCGCAGGCGGUUUUACAAGUCUGUCGUUAAGACGUGGAGCUCAACUCCAUUUCGGCGAUGGAAACUGUAAGACUAGAGUGUGGUAGGGGCAGAGGGAAUUCCCGGUGUGGCGGUGAAAUGCGUAGAUAUCGGGAAGAACACCAGUGGCGAAGGCGCUCUGCUGGCCAUAACUGACGCUCAUGGACGGAAGCCAGGGGAGCGAAAGGGAUUAGAUACCCCUGUAGUCCUGGCCGUAAACGAUGAACACUAGGUGUCGGGGGAACCGACCCUCUCGGUGUCGUAGCCAACGCGUUAAGUGUUCCGCCUGGGGAGUACGCACGCAAGUGUGAAACUCAAAGGAAUUGACGGGGGCCCGCACAAGCGGUGGAGUAUGUGGUUUAAUUCGAUGCAACGCGAAGAACCUUACCAGGGUCUGACAUCCUGCGAAUUCCUUGGAAACUUGGAAGUGCCUUCGGGAGGCAGUGACCAGGUGGUGCAUGGCG